AGAGUUUGAUCCUGGCUCAGAAUGAACGUUGGCGGCGUGGAUUAGGCAUGCGAGUCGCGCGAGAAUGUAGCAAUACAGGACAGCGGCGAAAGGGAGAGGACAACACGGGAAUCUGCCUUGGGGACGAGGAUAGCGUCGGGAAACUGACAGUAAUACUCGAUAAUGUUUGCGGACCAAAGGUGUGAUUCCGCCCCAAGAUGAGCCCGUGCCCCAUUAGCUAGUUGGCAGGGUAAUGGCCUACCAAGGCUGUGAUGGGUAGCUGGUGUGAGAGCACGACCAGCCUCACUGGCACUGAGACACUGGCCAGACACCUACGGGUGGCUGCAGUCGAGAAUCUUCGGCAAUGGACGCAAGUCUGACCGAGCGACGCCGCGUGCGGGAUGAAGGCCUUCGGGUUGUAAACCGCUGUCGUAGGGAAUCAAAUGCAUGGGGGUACUCCUCUAUGUUUGAGAGAUCCUAGGAGGAAGGAGAGGCUAAGCUCGUGCCAGCAGCCGCGGUAAGACGAGCUCUCCAAACGUUAUUCGGUAUUACUGGGCUUAAAGAGUUCGUAGGCGGCUCUGUAGGUGAGAUGUGAAAGCCCUCGGCUUAACCGAGGAACUGCGUUUCAAACCACAGGGCUUGAGGGAGAUAGGGGUAAGCGGAACAGAUGGUGGAGCGGUGAAAUGCAUUGAUAUCAUCUGGAACACCGGUGGCGAAGGCGGCUUACUGGGUCUUUUCUGACGCUGAGGAACGAAAGCUAGGGUAGCGAACGGGAUUAGAUACCCCGGUAGUCCUAGCCGUAAACGAUGAGCACUAGUCUGAGGGACUCUCACAGUUUCUCGGACGUAGCGAAAGUGUUAAGUGCUCCGCCUGGGGAGUAUGGUCGCAAGGCUGAAACUUAAAUGAAUUGACGG
RNAcentral lists this ribosomal RNA (893 nucleotides) under uncultured bacterium. Its description in RNAcentral is "bacterial SSU rRNA". It matches the Rfam family "Bacterial small subunit ribosomal RNA", at positions 8 to 916 of the family's 1533-position model. The record is from RNAcentral.